RNAcentral lists this ribosomal RNA (522 nucleotides) under uncultured bacterium. RNAcentral's name for it is "bacterial SSU rRNA". It matches the Rfam family "Bacterial small subunit ribosomal RNA", at positions 8 to 524 of the family's 1533-position model. The record is from RNAcentral.
AGAGUUUGAUCAUGGCUCAGGAUGAACGCUAGCGGCAGGCCUAACACAUGCAAGUCGAACGGUAACAGAGGGUGCUUGCACCCUGCUGACGAGUGGCGCACGGGUGCGUAACGCGUAUGCAAUCUGCCCUGUACUGGGGGAUAGCCCAGGGAAACUUGGAUUAAUACCCCAUGGUAUUUCGGAUCGGCAUCGAUCUGUUCUUAAAGGAUUCCGGUACAGGAUGAGCAUGCGUCCCAUUAGUUAGUUGGUAAGGUAACGGCUUACCAAGGCUCCGAUGGGUAGGGGGUCUGAGAGGAUUAUCCCCCACACUGGUACUGAGACACGGACCAGACUCCUACGGGAGGCAGCAGUGAGGAAUAUUGGUCAAUGGAGGCAACUCUGAACCAGCCAUGCCGCGUGCAGGAAGACGGCCCUCGAGGUUGUAAACUGCUUUUAUAUGGGAAGAAACUUCUCUACGUGUAGAGAACUGACGGUACCAUACGAAUAAGGACCGGCUAACUCCGUGCCAGCCGCCGCGGUAAU